CAACUAAGGGCGCGCGGUGGAUGCCUAGGCUCUCGGAGGCGAUGAAGGACGCGAUAAGCCGCGAUAGGCCACGGCGAGGUGCAAGUAACCCUUGACCCGUGGAUUUCCGAAUGGGGCAACCCGGCCGUCUAGAUGACGGUCAUGCAUUAAUGCAAGCGAACGCGGGGAACUGAAACAUCUCAUUACCCGCAGGAGAAGAAAACAACUGUGAUUCCCCCAGUAGUGGCGAGCGAACGGGGAAGAGCCCAAACCGCUGCCGUUUCGGCGACAGCGGGGUCAUGGGACCGCGACAUUCGACGUGAGACGAAGUGCAAUUACCUGGAAAGGUAAGCCGUGGAGGGUGACAGCCCCGUGCACGACACCUCUCACGAAGAUAGCGGAAUCCCGAGUAGGGCGGGACACGAGAAAUCCUGCCUGAAUUCGCCAGGACCUCC
RNAcentral lists this ribosomal RNA (434 nucleotides) under Butyricimonas virosa. RNAcentral describes it as "partial 23S ribosomal RNA". It matches the Rfam family "Bacterial large subunit ribosomal RNA", at positions 1 to 457 of the family's 2925-position model. Lineage: Bacteria; Pseudomonadati; Bacteroidota; Bacteroidia; Bacteroidales; Odoribacteraceae. The record is from RNAcentral.